GCUGUGCUACUGGCCUGCUGGCUGCUGCUCGCCUAGUCGACUGCUCCAGCCUCCAGUGCUCUGUGCAGCUGUGCUCUGUCCUCUGCUGCUCGCCUAGUCGCCUGCUCCAGUGCCUAGUCGCUGACUUGCUGUCUUGCUGAGUGUUGGGCAUGGCCCUGCUGCAGUGCUGCUCUGCCUGCUUCGCUGCUCGCCUCAAUCAUUCAGCGCCUGCCGCCUCCGCCUAGCAAGGGAAGACUCAGCUUAUCAAUCAUUUUCUAAUCAACAAGAGUUGGUAUAUUGUUAAUUUGCCUGGAUAUGGGUGAGUCUCUGUAAUUUUGGUUUUAAUUUGGGUAAUUUCUGUAAUUCUUGAGUCUAUUUCAUGCUGGGAAUAUUGUAUACUUGUAUUGUGAAUCAAUUGUUAUUCGUGUUUAUUCCUGAUCAUAUGCUUGAAUCAUAUUGAAGUGCCAAAAAAGGAUUGCUUUUACGCCUUGAGGCAUUGCUUCAAAAUUAUUGAUCAUCCUGUAAAACAUGUUGCGGACUGAUAUGUAUUUAGGCUACAUCCGUUGUAGUUAAUUUGGUCUCCAAUCGUGUUGUUUAUUUUCAAGUUUAGGAAGUAAAUGUCUCCUUACAUGU
Chenopodium quinoa (quinoa) is the source of this 612-nucleotide long non-coding RNA. RefSeq lists it as uncharacterized. The record is from RefSeq and is a predicted model, not a curated record. The transcript has 2 exons. NCBI's taxonomy places the organism in Eukaryota, Viridiplantae, Streptophyta, Magnoliopsida, Caryophyllales, Amaranthaceae.